GAGACUACAUUCAACAGCUACUGAAUCCAUGCAUUAGUUCUCCUUCGUUGCUGCUACAUUUUAUAACGUUCAAUCUUUCAGUGCUUAGAAUAAAUACACUUGUGCUACUUUACGCAAACUUCAACUUGUGCGGGACACUAAUUGUGAUUUCCUGCAACUUACUACUUUCAUUAUACACCUUAUACAUAAACACGCAAGAAUACACCAGUGGAGGAAAGAAAUAGAGUCCAUCCUACACACCUAACCCCUCCAAUUGAUUGCCUGGGUACAGAUUAUACCUUCUACUUCUUCAUCGUUGGCCACAACAAAAUUGUCUUUCUUUUUUGCUUCAUCAAUUAAACUACCUCCGGUCCCCCUCGAAUGGGCACACACUCACAUGUCAAAAUUACGGAUUGAAUGCCUGCGGAGAAACCAAGAACCACUGACAGCCUUCAUCUGUCCAAGAAUGCUCUGCAAUAUCCAUCAGGC
This 468-nucleotide unclassified non-coding RNA is filed under the name Hevea brasiliensis (rubber tree). Lineage: Eukaryota; Viridiplantae; Streptophyta; Magnoliopsida; Malpighiales; Euphorbiaceae. The record is from RNAcentral.